This 497-nucleotide ribosomal RNA is filed under the name uncultured bacterium. RNAcentral describes it as "partial 16S ribosomal RNA". It matches the Rfam family "Bacterial small subunit ribosomal RNA", at positions 28 to 507 of the family's 1533-position model. The record is from RNAcentral.
GAUGAACGCUGGCGGCGUGCCUAAUACAUGCAAGUCGAGCGAACAGACGAGGAGCUUGCUCCUCUGACGUUAGCGGCGGACGGGUGAGUAACACGUGGAUAACCUACCUAUAAGACUGGGAUAACUUCGGGAAACCGGAGCUAAUACCGGAUAAUAUAUUGAACCGCAUGGUUCAAUAGUGAAAGACGGUUUUGCUGUCACUUAUAGAUGGAUCCGCGCCGCAUUAGCUAGUUGGUAAGGUAACGGGUUACCAAGGCAACAAUGCGUAGCCGACCUGGGAGGGUGAUCGUCCACACUGGAACUGAGAAACGGUCCAGACUCCUACGGGAGGCAGCAGUAGGGAAUCUUCCGCAAUGGGCGAAAGCCUGACGGAGCAACGCCGCGUGAGUGAUGAAGGUCUUCGGAUCGUAAAACUCUGUUAUUAGGGAAGAACAAAUGUGUAAGUAACUAUGCACGUCUUGACGGUACCUAAUCAGAAAGCCACGGCUAACUACGUG